Molecule: ribosomal RNA, 279 nt
Filed under: uncultured methanogenic archaeon
Lineage: Archaea; Methanobacteriati; Methanobacteriota
Description: partial 16S rRNA
Rfam family: Archaeal small subunit ribosomal RNA
Source: RNAcentral
GAGACCCGUGCCCACUGUUACCAGCAUGUCCUCCGGGAUGAUGGGUACUCUGUGGGGACCGCCGGUGUUAAAUCGGAGGAAGGUGCGGGCCACGGUAGGUCAGUAUGCCCCGAAUUUCCCGGGCUACACGCGGGCUACAAUGAAUGGGACAAUGGGUCCCUACCCUGAAAAGGGCUGGUAAUCUCACAAACCCAUCCGUAGUUCGGAUCGAGGGCUGUAACUCGCCCUCGUGAAGCUGGAAUCCGUAGUAAUCGCGUUUCAAUAUAGCGCGGUGAAUAC